Molecule: non-coding RNA, 92 nt
Organism: Mycena polygramma
Lineage: Eukaryota; Fungi; Basidiomycota; Agaricomycetes; Agaricales; Mycenaceae
Source: the annotation of a GenBank genome assembly
GGCUCCGUGGUGUAACGGUAACACGCCCUCUCUUCAUGUUCAUUGGGCUUCAAGUUUGGAGGGAGUCUCUUGUUCGACUCAAGGCGAGGCCG